This 64-nucleotide transfer RNA is filed under the name Hylastes ater. RNAcentral's name for it is "tRNA-His". The record is from RNAcentral. Lineage: Eukaryota; Metazoa; Arthropoda; Insecta; Coleoptera; Curculionidae.
AUUUAAAUAGUUUAAUUAAAAAUAUUAAUUUGUGGGAUUAAUGAUAUGAAAUUCAUUUUAAAUA